Molecule: ribosomal RNA, 460 nt
Filed under: uncultured bacterium
Lineage: Bacteria
Description: partial 16S ribosomal RNA
Rfam family: Bacterial small subunit ribosomal RNA
Source: RNAcentral
CCUACGGGAGGCAGCAGUGAGGAAUAUUGGUCAAUGGCCGUAAGGCUGAACCAGCCAAGUCGCGUGAAGGAAGAAGGAUCUAUGGUUUGUAAACUUCUUUUAUAGGGGAAUAAAGGUAUCCACGUGUGGAUCUUUGCAUGUACCCUAUGAAUAAGCAUCGGCUAUCUCCGUGCCAGCAGCCGCGGUAUUACGGAGGAUGCGAGCGUUAUCCGGAUUUAUUGGGUUUAAAGGGUGCGUAGGUUGUUUUUUAAGUCAGCGGUGAAAGUUUGUGGCUCAACCAUAAAAUUGCCGUUGAAACUGGAAGACUUGAGUGUGUUUGAGGUAGGCGGAAUGCGUGGUGUAGCGGUGAAAUGCAGAGAUAUCACGCAGAACUCCGAUUGCGAAGGCAGCUUACUAAGCCAUAACUGACACUGAAGCACGAAAGCGUGGGGAUCAAACAGGAUUAGAUACCCUGGUAGUC